Molecule: RNase P RNA, 376 nt
Filed under: bovine gut metagenome
Description: Bacterial RNase P class A
Rfam family: Bacterial RNase P class A
About the family: Ribonuclease P (RNase P) is a ubiquitous endoribonuclease, found in archaea, bacteria and eukarya as well as chloroplasts and mitochondria. Its best characterised activity is the generation of mature 5'-ends of tRNAs by cleaving the 5'-leader elements of precursor-tRNAs. Cellular RNase Ps are ribonucleoproteins.
Source: RNAcentral
AGAUGGUUGGGCAAUCGCUGACCCUUUUGGGUUGGAGGAAAGUCCGGGCUUCCCAAGGACACAGUACCGGAUAACGUCCGGGCGGGGUGACCCGAUGGAAAGCGUCACAGAAAAUAAUCUGCCUUUGCAGGUUCGCCUGCAUUGGUGAGGGUGAAAAGGUGAGGUAAGAGCUCACCGCACGGGCUGAGAGGUUUCGUGGCACGACAAACCCUAUUGGAAGCAAGACCAAACGAAGACAGACGGCGACCGACAGGUUGAUUUUGUAUAAACGGGUGUCCUUGUCCGGCUGUCGUGAGGUAGGUUGCUUGAGCUUAUCAGUAAUGGUAAUGCCAGACGAAUGAUUGCCAACUACAGAACCCGGCUUACAGACCAUCUG